Molecule: ribosomal RNA, 299 nt
Filed under: Anabaena sp. WA113
Lineage: Bacteria; Bacillati; Cyanobacteriota; Cyanophyceae; Nostocales; Nostocaceae
Description: partial 16S ribosomal RNA
Rfam family: Bacterial small subunit ribosomal RNA
Source: RNAcentral
CAAAAUGGAGAGUUUGAUCCUGGCUCAGGAUGAACGCUGGCGGUAUGCUUAACACAUGCAAGUCGAACGGUCUUUUAGGAGACAGUGGCGGACGGGUGAGUAACGCGUAAGAAUCUACCUUCAGGUUGGGGACAACCACUGGAAACGGUGGCUAAUACCGAAUGUGCCGAGAGGUGAAAGGCUUGCUGCCUGAAGAAGAGCUUGCGUCUGAUUAGCUAGUUGGUAGUGUAAGAGACUACCAAGGCGACGAUCAGUAGCUGGUCUGAGAGGAUGAUCAGCCACACUGGGACUGAGACACG